This 253-nucleotide ribosomal RNA is filed under the name uncultured bacterium. RNAcentral describes it as "partial 16S ribosomal RNA". It matches the Rfam family "Bacterial small subunit ribosomal RNA", at positions 524 to 776 of the family's 1533-position model. The record is from RNAcentral.
UACGAAGGUCCCAAGCGUUAUUCGGAGUUACUGGGCGUAAAGCGUCUGUAGCCUGUUAUGUAAGUUUGUUUUCAAAUACACCGACUCAAUCGGGGAGAGGGAAUAAAUACUGCAUAGCUAGAGGACUGUAGAGGUUAGUGGAAUUUCCGGUGGAGCGGUGAAAUGCGUUGAUAUCGGAAGGAAUGCCGAAAGCGAAAGCAGCUAACUAUACAGUAUCUGACGGUGAGAGACGAAAGCUUGGGUAGCAAACGGG